Molecule: small nuclear RNA, 107 nt
Filed under: Cebus imitator (Panamanian white-faced capuchin)
Lineage: Eukaryota; Metazoa; Chordata; Mammalia; Primates; Cebidae
Source: RNAcentral
GUGCUUGCUUUGGCAGCACAUAUACUAAAAUUGGAACGAUACAGAGAAGAUUAGCAGGGCCCCUGCACAAGGAUGACACGCAAAUUCAUGAAAUGUUCCAUAUUUUU